CGCUCGUAUGGAGGACGAUCUCGACCGCAUCGCCACCGGUGACGCGGAGGCGGUGCCGUGGCUGCGCCGCUUCUACUUCGGCGCGGACGGC
Molecule: transfer RNA, 91 nt
Filed under: Streptomyces sp. MP131-18
Lineage: Bacteria; Bacillati; Actinomycetota; Actinomycetes; Kitasatosporales; Streptomycetaceae
Description: tRNA-Ala
Source: RNAcentral